Molecule: ribosomal RNA, 682 nt
Filed under: Spinocalanidae sp. 2012JH190
Lineage: Eukaryota; Metazoa; Arthropoda; Copepoda; Calanoida; Spinocalanidae
Description: eukaryotic LSU rRNA
Rfam family: Eukaryotic large subunit ribosomal RNA
Source: RNAcentral
UCGACCUGAGAUCAGAUAAGACUACCCGCCGAAUUUAAGCAUAUUAAUAAGCGGAGGAAAAGAAAACAACUGUGAUUCCCUUAGUAAUGGCGAAUGAAACGGGAUCAGCCCAUCGCGUAACUGCAGGUCAUCUUGGCUUUGCGGGAUGUCGCGUUCGGGAUAGUCUCAUCUGGAGCCGGACUGCCAGUCAAAGUCCAACUUGACAGUGGUCACUGCCCAUAGAGGGUGAUAGGCCCGUAAGGCGGCCGUGCGCUCUGGCCGACUUUUCCCCAGAGUCGGGUUGCUUGGGAGUGCAGCCCAAAGUUCGAGGUAAACUCCUCGUAAGGCUAAAUACGACCCCUAGACCGAUAGCAAACAAGUACCGUGAGGGAAAAUUGAAAAGAACUUUGAAGAGAGAGUUCAAUAGUACGUGAAACUGUGUGGUGGUAAACGGAGGGGUUCUCGAAGUCUCCGUGGGGUACUCACCUUGGUGGUGGGUGGUCGGGCCGCGUGUGAUCAGCAAUGACGCCGUGGCUCGUCCGGCCCUCCUCCCGGGUGCAUUUCCCCCGCGGUUCACGGCAGGAACCAUUGGGACCGGACCGAAGGCCCCAGGUGAAGUUGUCGCUUAUGGUGGCAGCCCUUGGGUGCCCUGGCUCUGGGCCUGACGGGUACGUGAGAGGACUCGUAUAGCGAGCAACGCUCU